This 433-nucleotide long non-coding RNA is filed under the name Mytilus galloprovincialis (Mediterranean mussel). Lineage: Eukaryota; Metazoa; Mollusca; Bivalvia; Mytilida; Mytilidae. The record is from RNAcentral.
GUUUGACAGUGUUUUACUGUAUGACAAAAGGAGUUCUAUGUUUUUCAUAUGGUGUUAUUAACUGUGUUGCACGAUGACAACCAAUCUGAGCAUUUGGAGUGUUAUUUAUUUAAUAUCCUUUUUUAUGAGGCAUGGAGGAAACAGUAAUUGCAUUAGUUACCAAAUGAUUAUGAUAGAAUAUGUUCUACAUCUUUGAUUUUGGAUACAUUUUGUAGCUAGGAGAGCAACACAUAAUAGGUGUAUCUGUUCACGUUUUUUUAUUUUUUCUAAAUGGGAGAUGAUAUCUAGAUUUGAGAACAUGAUAUAAGGAGCCUGUAAUUCAGUGGUUGUCGUUUGUUUAUGUGUUACAUAUUCGUUUUUUGUUUAUUUUUUUAACAUAAAUAAUGCCAUUAUUUUUCUUGUUUGAAUUGUUUUACAUUUGUCAUUUCCGGGC